RNAcentral lists this ribosomal RNA (253 nucleotides) under uncultured bacterium. RNAcentral's name for it is "partial 16S ribosomal RNA". It matches the Rfam family "Bacterial small subunit ribosomal RNA", at positions 524 to 776 of the family's 1533-position model. The record is from RNAcentral.
UACGAAGGGAGCUAGCGUUGUUCGGAAUCACUGGGCGUAAAGCGCACGUAGGCGGAUGUGUCAGUCAGGGGUGAAAUCCCGGAGCUCAACUUCGGAACUGCCUUUGAUACAGCACAUCUGGAGUCCGGAAGAGGUGGGUGGAAUUCCUAGUGUAGAGGUGAAAUUCGUAGAUAUUAGGAAGAACACCGGUGGCGAAGGCGGCCCACUGGCUCGACACUGACGCUGAGGUGCGAAAGCGUGGGGAGCGAACAGG